This 459-nucleotide ribosomal RNA is filed under the name uncultured bacterium. RNAcentral's name for it is "partial 16S ribosomal RNA". It matches the Rfam family "Bacterial small subunit ribosomal RNA", at positions 338 to 795 of the family's 1533-position model. The record is from RNAcentral.
CCUACGGGAGGCAGCAGUGAGGAAUAUUGGUCAAUGGCCGGAAGGCUGAACCAGCCAAGCCGCGUGAAGGACGAAGGUGCCAAGCAUUGUAAACUUCUUUUGUCAAGGGACAAAAUCAGGCUCGAGAGCCUGCCCGAGUGUACUUGAAGAACAAGCAUCGGCUAACUCCGUGCCAGCAGCCGCGGUAAUACGGGGGAUGCGAGCGUUAUCCGGAUUUAUUGGGUUGAAAGGGUGGGUAGGCGGACUGUUAAGUCAGCGGUAAAAGCCCGGGGUUCAACCCCGGCGAGCCGUUGAAACUGGCGGUCUGGAGAGGGCGAGGGGUAUGCGGAAUGCGCAGUGUAGCGGUGAAAUGCUUAGAUAUUGCGCAGAACUCCGAUGGCGAAGGCAGCAUACCGGCGGCGAUCUGACGCUGAGGCACGAAAGCGUGGGUAUCGAACAGGAUUAGAUACCCCAGUAGUC